CAACACAGGAAGGUCACACCAUCUCUCACCAUCAUCAGGGCGAAGAACUAAAAGACGUCAAAGUUGAGGAAGAAGAAGAAGAAGAAGAGAGGUUGGUGAGUGGAGAUCAGCAGUCUAUGGAGGAGAGAGGUCCUCUGUAUUCCCGGGAUUCCACCCAGGAAAAUCAGAACUAUACAGAUAAUAAUCAGGGUGAAGAACGGAAAGACAUCAAAGUUGAGG
This is a long non-coding RNA of Rana temporaria (common frog), 219 nucleotides long. RefSeq lists it as uncharacterized. NCBI's taxonomy places the organism in Eukaryota, Metazoa, Chordata, Amphibia, Anura, Ranidae. The transcript is spliced from 3 exons. The record is from RefSeq and is a predicted model, not a curated record.